Molecule: long non-coding RNA, 1284 nt
Filed under: Eptatretus burgeri (inshore hagfish)
Lineage: Eukaryota; Metazoa; Chordata; Myxini; Myxiniformes; Myxinidae
Description: lncRNA (ENSEBUG00000017481.1)
Source: RNAcentral
CCCCCCCUCUUUCUCUUUCUUUUUGUUCCUUUUUCUCUUUCUUUCCCUUUCUUUUUCUUUCUUUCCCACACUUAUUGGAACGAUGGUUGACCCAACUCUUCUUUCAGCUUCACAAACACCCACAUCUCACCGAUAUAAUUGAUUUUCAUAUCUCGUUUGAUCCCAACUGAGAUCGAACACGACAAAGGUCAUGACUGAAAUGGAGACCUUCCCAGGGUGGCUACAGACACAGGGCCUGACGUCAGAAACUGCUCAAGCUGUCAUCAUGGAGCUGGGUAUUGAGAAUCUAAAGGUGCUACGAGCCUGCACAGAGUCCGAUGCAUUGAGAGCUGAGCUUCUCUCAUGUGCACAGCAAAAGUUUCCUUUUGCAAUGUACACAGAGUUCCACCAACUUAUGGAGUCUUGUGUGAAACCAGGAGCUAUCCAGUCUGCAAGCUCUUCUUCGGCACACAUAUUUUGCUUGAUGCUUGAGCAUGUAGGUGACAGGCUUUCUGGCUGUGCCCAAAAAUUGCGCUUGUUGAAAUCUUCACUCCUAUCUGCUGGAGUGAGAAAUGCUCAACUUCAUGAAACUGAUAUUGUAUCUGAGAUCAGGAUACAUGAUGUCUACAGCCUCCAGCCUAACGGUUCCAGGUUAAACCCCAACUCUGGUGAAGAUGAUUUGCAAAAGGCAACUGAUAUAACUCAAAGCACCAGGAAAUCUGUUAUCAUUAAACAUUUGGAAGUUGCAUCAACACAGGUGUCCAGCAAUAUUUCAGAUGUUAAACCAGGUGAAAACUGUUCUGCAAAAGUGGAAAGCCUCCAAGAGGACAAUGAUCCAUCUGCCUCAGAAGCUUUGAGAUGUGCUUCGGUAAAGGAAGAAAUAGAUGAUCAUGGGACAGAUGACAGUGUUGCCUGUUGGGAAAAUGGUGCACAAAAGUGGACUUAGUGUGUUGUCAGUCGAUUUAGAAUUGGUCAACCAACAACGUGGAACAGACAACAAAAGAAAAAUCAUAAUUUGAAAUCUUCCUGGGAACGAAAUCCUUCAAGGAGAUUAAAACCAGUUUUAUGCUUAAGGGCAUCGUCCACUAAGGAAGGUCACAAUCCAUAUCUCAUCUCAAAACAACAAUCAAGGCCGGCAUCUGGAGCAUGUGCUCUAACCUCAAUAAAAUCAAGGACAUGAAAGAUAUCCAUCUGAAAAUUUACAUGGUGAUCUUGCUUCAUGCGAAGCAAAUGUACACCAAAGAACAUGUUAUUUUAUAUCAAAAUAAAGGUUUAUUCAAUUGAAUGGGUAACGUCUUUUUUGGA